This 471-nucleotide ribosomal RNA is filed under the name uncultured bacterium. RNAcentral's name for it is "SSU rRNA". It matches the Rfam family "Bacterial small subunit ribosomal RNA", at positions 26 to 518 of the family's 1533-position model. The record is from RNAcentral.
AGGACGAACGCUGGCGGCGUGCCUAACACAUGCAAGUCGAACGGGGGUAGCAAUACCCUAGUGGCGAACGGGUGCGUAACACGUGAAGAACUUGUCCAUCGGCGGGGGAUAGCCGGCCCAACGGCCGGGUAAUACCGCGUACGCUUGUCGAGUGGCAUCACUUGACAAGGAAAGCAGCAAUGCACCGAUGGAGAGCUUCGCGGCCUAUCAGCUUGUUGGUGGGGUGAUGGCCUACCAAGGCGACGACGGGUAGCCGGCCUGAGAGGGCGACCGGCCACACUGGGACUGAGACACGGCCCAGACUCCUACGGGAGGCAGCAGUGGGGAAUAUUGCACAAUGGGCGGAAGCCUGAUGCAGCGACGCCGCGUGAGGGAUGAAGGCCUUCGGGUUGUAAACCUCUUUCGACAGGGACGAAGCGCAAGUGACGGUACCUGGAGAAGAAGCGCCGGCCAACUACGCGCCAGCACCGC